CCCGCUGAACUUAAGCAUAUCAAUAAGCGGAGGAAAAGAAACUAACAAGGAUUCCCCUAGUAACUGCGAGUGAAGCGGGAAAAGCUCAAAUUUAAAAUCUGGUGGUCUUUGGCUGUCCGAGUUGUAAUCUAGAGAAGCGUCAUCCGCGCUGGACCAUGCACAAGUCUCCUGGAAUGGAGCGUCAUAGAGGGUGAGAAUCCAGUAUCCGGUAUGUGACACCGCACUGCCUGUGUUAUGCGCUCUGGUAGAGUAGAGUUGAGUGGGAAGGCAGCUCAACUUGGGAGGUGAGCUCCAUCUCAAGCUAAACAUUAUAGAGAGGAGAAUAGCGUACAGGUCCAGUGAGGUAAAGAUGAGAUGCACUGUGCUUAGAGAGUAGAGCAGUACGUGACGUGGUAGAGAGGGAAGCGCUUGAAGUCAGUUGAGUCGCGUGAGCCUCAGCUCAGCCUCGCCUUGGUGCAUGUCGUGCCCUGUGGGGUAAGCAUCAGUUUCACUCCUGUGGAUGAGGACUAGGGUACAGGGGACUCCGUCAUCGUUGUGUGAGAGUCACUCGUCGCAUGCAAGCAUCAGUUGUGAGUGAGCACCGCAUCCACCCGCGGGGCUCGGGGCUCUAGUCCCCCAAUCAUGCUUAGGAUGUUGGCAUAAUGGCUUUAAUCGACCCGUCUUGAAACACGG
RNAcentral lists this ribosomal RNA (672 nucleotides) under uncultured fungus. RNAcentral's name for it is "eukaryotic LSU rRNA". It matches the Rfam family "Eukaryotic large subunit ribosomal RNA", at positions 24 to 664 of the family's 3401-position model. Lineage: Eukaryota; Fungi. The record is from RNAcentral.